RNAcentral lists this ribosomal RNA (252 nucleotides) under uncultured bacterium. RNAcentral describes it as "partial 16S ribosomal RNA". It matches the Rfam family "Bacterial small subunit ribosomal RNA", at positions 524 to 776 of the family's 1533-position model. The record is from RNAcentral.
UACGUAGGGGGCAAGCGUUGUCCGGAUUUACUGGGCGUAAAGAGCGUGUAGGCGGCCAAGCAGGUCCGUUGUGAAAACUGGAGGCUUAACCUCCAGACGUCGACGGAAACCGCGUGGCUAGAGUCCGGAAGAGGAGACUGGAAUUCCUGGUGUAGCGGUGAAAUGCGCAGAUAUCAGGAGGAACACCAGUGGCGAAGGCAGGUCUCUGGCGAACACGUGACGUGAGGAGCGAAGACGUGGGGAGCGAACAGG